UGGACACGAUGGACCCAUGGGUGCUACAGGAGUGAAAAGGCUCAGAAGCGUUGGAUUGAUUGAGAGUGUUCCUGGGAUGAAGGCUCUUGACAUGAACGCUGCUGAAGAUGCGAUUGUGAAGUUGACUAGAGAGAUUGUUCCUGGUAUGAUUGUUACAGGAAUGGAAGUUGCAGAGAUCGAUGGAUCUCCAAGAAUGGUAAUUAAUUAAAAUCGAUUACUUAUAAUUUAUAAAAUAUAAUCCAUCUUUUUUUUUUUUUCUUGAAAAUGAUUGUGGAAAUGGUGUAUGUGAACAGGGGCCGACGUUUGGGGCUAUGAUGAUAUCUGGACAGAAGGCUGCUCAUCUGGCUUUGAGGGCUUUAGGGCUUCCGAAUGCUUUGGAUGGGACAAGUGUGGGAAGUGUUCAUCCAGAGAUGAUUCUUGCUGCUGUUGAUUCUGGUGAGACUGUGGAUGCCUAAG
RNAcentral lists this long non-coding RNA (456 nucleotides) under Lactuca sativa (garden lettuce). Its description in RNAcentral is "long non-coding RNA (LSAT_LNC007715)". The record is from RNAcentral. Lineage: Eukaryota; Viridiplantae; Streptophyta; Magnoliopsida; Asterales; Asteraceae.